UACGGAGGGUGCAAGCGUUAUCCGGAUUCACUGGGUUUAAAGGGUGCGUAGGUGGGCAGGUAAGUCCGCUGUGAAAGUCAAAGGCUCAACCUUUGAAUGUCAGCGGAUACUGCCGGGCUAGAGUCCGGAAGAGGCGAGUGGAACUCCUGGUGUAGCGGUGGAAUGCGCAGAUAUCAGGAAGAACACCAACGGCGAAGGCAGCUCGCUGGGACGGAACUGACGCUAAGGCGCGAAAGCGUGGGGAGCGAACAGG
Molecule: ribosomal RNA, 253 nt
Filed under: uncultured bacterium
Lineage: Bacteria
Description: partial 16S ribosomal RNA
Rfam family: Bacterial small subunit ribosomal RNA
Source: RNAcentral